Molecule: ribosomal RNA, 505 nt
Filed under: uncultured bacterium
Lineage: Bacteria
Description: partial 16S ribosomal RNA
Rfam family: Bacterial small subunit ribosomal RNA
Source: RNAcentral
GACGAACGCUGGCGGCGUGCCUAAUACAUGCAAGUAGAACGCACAGUUUAUACCGUAGCUUGCUACACCAUAAACUGUGAGUUGCGAACGGGUGAGUAACGCGUAGGUAACCUGCCUGGUAGCGGGGGAUAACUAUUGGAAACGAUAGCUAAUACCGCAUAAUAUUGAUUAUUGCAUGAUAAUUGAUUGAAAGAUGCUAUUGCAUCACUACCAGAUGGACCUGCGGUGUAUUAGCUAGUAGGUGAGGUAACGGCUCACCUAGGCGACGAUACAUAGCCGACCUGAGAGGGUGAUCGGCCACACUGGGACUGAGACACGGCCCAGACUCCUACGGGAGGCAGCAGUAGGGAAUCUUCGGCAAUGGACGAAAGUCUGACCGAGCAACGCCGCGUGAGUGAAGAAGGUUUUCGGAUCGUAAAGCUCUGUUGUAAGAGAAGAACGGGUGUGAGAGUGGAAAGUUCACACUGUGACGGUAUCUUACCAGAAAGGGACGGCUAACUACGUG